Molecule: ribosomal RNA, 245 nt
Filed under: uncultured bacterium
Lineage: Bacteria
Description: partial 16S ribosomal RNA
Rfam family: Bacterial small subunit ribosomal RNA
Source: RNAcentral
UACAGAGGUCUCGAGCGUUAGGCGGAAUCACUGGGCUUAAAGCGUGUGUAGGCGGAUCGGUAAGUACCUUGUGAAAUCCCACAGCUUAACUGUGGAACUGCUUGGUAUACUGCCAGUCUUGAGCCAGCUAGGGGCUACCGGAACAAAUGGUGGAGCGGUGAAAUGCGUAGAUAUCAUUUGGAACGCCAAUGGUGAAAACAGGUAGCUGGGGCUGUGCUGACGCUGAGACACGAAAGCCAGGGGAG